This 253-nucleotide ribosomal RNA is filed under the name uncultured bacterium. RNAcentral's name for it is "partial 16S ribosomal RNA". It matches the Rfam family "Bacterial small subunit ribosomal RNA", at positions 524 to 776 of the family's 1533-position model. The record is from RNAcentral.
UACAGAGGGUGCAAGCGUUGUUCGGAAUUAUUGGGCGUAAAGCGCGUGUAGGCGGCAGCGCAAGUCGGGCGUGAAAUCCCACGGCUCAACCGUGGAAGUGCACUCGAAACUGCGCAGCUAGAGUCCUGGAGAGGAAGGUGGAAUGCUUGGUGUAGAGGUGAAAUUCGUAGAUAUCAAGCGGAACACCGGUGGCGAAGGCGGCCUUCUGGACAGUGACUGACGCUGAGAUGCGAAAGCGUGGGGAGCAAACAGG